UACGGGGGGGGGCAAGCGUUGUUCGGAAUUACUGGGCGUAAAGGGCGCGUAGGCGGCCUUCUAAGUCGGACGUGAAAUCCCUCGGCUUAACCGAGGAACUGCCCUCCAAACUGCUUGGCUUGAGUCCGGGAGAGGUGAGUGGAAUUCCCAGUGUAGCGGUGAAAUGCGUAGAUAUUGGGAGGAACACCAGUGGCGAAGGCGGCUCACUGGACCGGAACUGACGCUGGAGGCACGAAAGCGUGGGUAUCAAACAGGA
This 256-nucleotide ribosomal RNA is filed under the name uncultured bacterium. RNAcentral's name for it is "partial 16S ribosomal RNA". It matches the Rfam family "Bacterial small subunit ribosomal RNA", at positions 524 to 777 of the family's 1533-position model. The record is from RNAcentral.